Xenopus laevis (African clawed frog) is the source of this 119-nucleotide non-coding RNA. The record is from Rfam. Lineage: Eukaryota; Metazoa; Chordata; Amphibia; Anura; Pipidae.
GCCUAUGGCCACACCACCCUGAAAGUGCCUGAUCUCGCCUGAUCUCAGAAGCAAUACAGGGUCGGGCCUGGUUAGUACAUGGAUGGGAGACUGCCUGGGAAUACCAGGUGUCAUAGGCU